GACUUCUGGUGUAAUGUGCCUGGCCCGCGGCUCUUUAGGCUUGUGAGUGCCGGUGCGCGUUUACCAUCCUUCUGGGGAACGAGUCUACCCUUUACUGGGCCGGAUUCGGAAUCCAGAUCAUUUACUUUGAAAAAAUUAGAGUGUUUAAAGCAGGCUAUUGCUAUGAAUACAUUAGCAUGGAAUAAUAAUCUAGGACUUCGGUUCUAUUUUGUUGGUUUCUAUAACUGAAGUAAUGAUUGAUAGGGAUAGUUGGGGGUGCUAGUAUUGGCCGGUCAGAGGUGAAAUUCUUGGAUUCGGUCAAGACUAACUUAUGCGAAAGCAUU
This 323-nucleotide ribosomal RNA is filed under the name uncultured Cercozoa. Its description in RNAcentral is "SSU rRNA". The stretch from base 106 to 323 matches the Rfam family "Eukaryotic small subunit ribosomal RNA", at positions 736 to 955 of the family's 1831-position model. The record is from RNAcentral. Lineage: Eukaryota; Cercozoa.